This 500-nucleotide ribosomal RNA is filed under the name uncultured bacterium. Its description in RNAcentral is "partial 16S ribosomal RNA". It matches the Rfam family "Bacterial small subunit ribosomal RNA", at positions 30 to 523 of the family's 1533-position model. The record is from RNAcentral.
AUUGAACGCUGGCGGCAUGCUUUACACAUGCAAGUCGAACGGUAAAAGGGUGCUUGCACCGCUGACGAGUGGCGAACGGGUGAGUAAUGCGUCGGAACGUGCCGAGUAGGGGGGGCUAACGCAGCGAAAGCUGUGCUAAUACCGAAUACGUACUGAGGUAGAAAGUGGGGGACCUUGAGGCCUCACGCUAUUCGAGCAGCCGACGUCUGAUUAGCUAGUAGGUGAGGUAAAGGCUGACCUAGGCGACGAUCAGUAGCGGGUCUGAGAGGAUGAUCCGCCAAACUGGGACUGAGACACGGCCCAGACUCCUACGGGAGGCAGCAGUGGGGAAUUUUGGACAAUGGGCGAAAGCCUGAUCCAGCCAUGCCGCGUGUCUGAAGAAGGCCUUCGGGUUGUAAAGGACUUUUGGCAGGGAGGAAAUCCCUAGUGCUAAUAACACUGGGGGAUGACAGUACCUGAAGAAUAAGCACCGGCUAACUACGUGCCAGCCGCCGCGGUAA